UAGCGGGCUAGACUGGAGGGUUAGGGGUCCUCUGUAAGCGUAUAUCCCCUAUAUGACGCAGUUGAAGUUCAAGAGGCGGCAAAUUGACCGUUUAUUGGCCUAGAAUUCUGAUGCUGAGCCCUCGUCCCGCAGGAUCAGUGGUGGUAGGGUUCUGGUUGUAGGACCAGAAUUAAUUAUCUUAAUCAUGGGAACGGGUCAGGUCUGGAAAGAAGCAGCUCUACCAUGAACAGCUGAUGCUUGUGGAGCAACGGGGUGGAGUCGGGUUUCUGGAUCACCAAUAUUCGGAAGAUCUGUCCACUCUUGAACACGCCCGUUU
RNAcentral lists this signal recognition particle RNA (316 nucleotides) under Methanobacterium sp. BRmetb2. RNAcentral's name for it is "signal recognition particle sRNA". It matches the Rfam family "Archaeal signal recognition particle RNA". Lineage: Archaea; Methanobacteriati; Methanobacteriota; Methanobacteria; Methanobacteriales; Methanobacteriaceae. The record is from RNAcentral. RNAcentral also lists the same sequence under 1 other name.